AUAACCAUUGGAAACGAUGGCUAAUACCGCAUGAUGCCUACGGGCCAAAGAGGGGGACCUUCGGGCCUCUCGCGUCGGGAUAUGCCUAGGUGGGAUUAGCUAGUUGGUGAGGUAAGGGCUCACCAAGGCGACGAUCCCUAGCUGGUCUGAGAGGAUGAUCAGCCACACUGGAACUGAGACACGGUCCAGACUCCUACGGGAGGCAGCAGUGGGGAAUAUUGCACAAUGGGCGCAAGCCUGAUGCAGCCAUGCCGCGUGUGUGAAGAAGGCCUUCGGGUUGUAAAGCACUUUCAGUCGUGAGGAAGGUGGUAGUGUUAAUAGCACUAUUAUUUGACGUUAGCGACAGAAUAAGCACCGGCUAACUCCGUGCCAGCAGCCGCGGUAAUACUGAGGGUGCGAGCGUUAAUCGGAAUUACUGGGCGUAAAGCGCAUGCAGGUGGUUUGUUAAUUCAGAUGUGAAAGCCCGGGGCUCAUCCUCGGAAUUGCAUUUGAAACUGGCAGACUAGAGUACUGUAGAGGGGGGUAGAAUUUCACGUGUAGCGUUGAAAUGCGUAGAGAUCUGAAGGAAUACCGGUGGCGAAUGCGGCCCCCCUGGACAGAUACUGAC
Molecule: ribosomal RNA, 607 nt
Filed under: Vibrio sp. BTOS10
Lineage: Bacteria; Pseudomonadati; Pseudomonadota; Gammaproteobacteria; Vibrionales; Vibrionaceae
Description: bacterial SSU rRNA
Rfam family: Bacterial small subunit ribosomal RNA
Source: RNAcentral